Molecule: non-coding RNA, 24 nt
Filed under: Arabidopsis thaliana (thale cress)
Lineage: Eukaryota; Viridiplantae; Streptophyta; Magnoliopsida; Brassicales; Brassicaceae
Source: RNAcentral
ACCACAGUUCGACUUCUCGGAUGC